UACGAAGGGGGCUAGCGUUGUUCGGAAUUACUGGGCGUAAAGGGCGCGUAGGCGGUGUGUCAAGUCAGGCGUGAAAUCCCCAGGCUCAACCUGGGAACUGCGCUUGAAACUGCCGGUCUGAGUAUCGGAGAGGGUGGCGGAAUUCCUGGUGUAGAGGUGAAAUUCGUAGAUAUCAGGAGGAACACCGGUGGCGAAGGCGGCCACCUGGACGAUUACUGACGCUGAGACGCGAAAGCGUGGGGAGCAAACAGG
This 252-nucleotide ribosomal RNA is filed under the name uncultured bacterium. RNAcentral describes it as "partial 16S ribosomal RNA". It matches the Rfam family "Bacterial small subunit ribosomal RNA", at positions 524 to 776 of the family's 1533-position model. The record is from RNAcentral.